This 1682-nucleotide long non-coding RNA is filed under the name Taeniopygia guttata (zebra finch). RNAcentral's name for it is "lncRNA (ENSTGUG00000019718.1)". The record is from RNAcentral. Lineage: Eukaryota; Metazoa; Chordata; Aves; Passeriformes; Estrildidae.
CAAAAAUUUUAGCAACGGCUUUGUUUUAGAAAAUAAGGCACCCUAUUGGAAUGCCAUUAAAAUCAGGCAAAUGAGCAGUAAAGUUUUGAUACAUGAGAAAAGCAAGUAAUAAACUUUUUCUUGCAUCAAGGGAACUUUGCCUGGAUGCCAGUGAGCAGCCAAAGAACUCCAAGGGAGCAAAGAUGAAGUUCUGCACAGACAUGCUGUUGCUCUAAGUCUUUCAGUUUCCAUCUUCUCAGUUAUCCCAAAUAAAAGAUUAAGGCUUUGGGGUUAUCUUCUCUGCAAAAAUAUACUUACAGAGGUCCCUCCAAGAGCAGCAGCAACUCGUUCCUACAGCCAGAGCUGCUGGGCACCAGGUAAGCAUCCUCCCAAACUGGAUAUGAAAGGGGUUCCUGGCACAGCUACCUUUUAGGCACUAAUGGCUGGGUGAGGCUUGGCACACCACACUGCCAGAUUUGCAGCUUCGGCAAAUAAAUUGUGGGGCAGGUUGUUCAGAGGGCUGGAGGAGGUGGGAGGUCUGUGGGGUUGUGUUUGUAGGAUGGGAUGUCAGUUCUGUGUGUCUGGGAGCUGUGCUGGGAGAUGCUCCUGGACUUUCCCCCAGCUUUGAGUGGGGUCAGGACUUGUGAGACCAAACGUGGGGGUUGUUGGAGGUGAGAGCUGCUGUUUUCUAAUGGUACUGAGAGUGAUUUUAACAACGCCAGGUGAGGACAAACACUAUGAUAGGUACAAAAUAAUCGCCCUAGCCAAAAGGCACAAUAGCUCUGUGGUGCACACAAUGGAGAGGAAUUGAGAGUUCUUGGAUCAGUUUUUGACUUUGCCACAGACCUCCAGUGUUACUUUCAGGCAGUCACUAAAUCCCUGCGUCCACCAUCUGCGAAGCAGCCAGGCUUGGAACAGUUUGUGUCUCUGGAAGCAUGUAUCUAAUUCAGCUGUUAUUAUCAAAGCUAAAUAUUAAAGAACUGUUGUGUUAUCAUGGGCUAAAACCAUGACACACCAUUUUCACUGUGAACUUUGUUCUUUUGCUAUUACGUUUUGUUUACAUUACUUUUUUCAGGAAAAACAAUGUUUUCACUGCAUAUAAGUUAGGCAGAAAUUCAUGAUGCAUGCUGUGCAAGCUAGACUUGUAGAUUUGAUGUCUGACACUUAAAAUAAAGAUGCAUGUUAAAUGCCACUAGGAAGACUUCAGGGCUGGUUGUUCAAUAAAAUGAAGCACGAGUCUGGGCAUUGAAAGUAAACAAAUAAUAUAAGACUAUGUAGAGAUCAACCUUCCAAAGCUGUUUGGAAAGUUCCAUAACUUGGGUCUAACUGUGGGCACUUCUCAUCCCCUUGGUGACAGGCAUGCUGCUCUGAAUUUGUUGUUCAAACUUCCAUUAAUAUUCUGUGUCAGACAAGGAAAUAACUUAGGAUCAAUUGUCAAACAUGUUUCUUCAGAAAGGAACUAAAGAGCAAUCCUGAAAAAUAUCUCCUGGGAUGGAAAAAUUCUGAUCUUUGAGAAAACAGAGGAACUGCUGUGUGAGAGGAAAAAUGUCAAUUUAUUUGGAGGACAGGUGAGUUUGUUUACUAAACUAUGCAAUCUUCAAGUCUGUCUUUGAAAAUGCACGGUCAGUUUAAGAGGAGGUGCUUUCAGCUUUAGAAAGCACUGGUAAACGUCAAAAUUAUUUACAUUUUUCACAUAAUGGACC